RNAcentral lists this ribosomal RNA (496 nucleotides) under uncultured bacterium. RNAcentral describes it as "partial 16S ribosomal RNA". It matches the Rfam family "Bacterial small subunit ribosomal RNA", at positions 29 to 507 of the family's 1533-position model. The record is from RNAcentral.
AUGAACGCUGGCGGCGUGCCUAAUACAUGCAAGUCGAGCGAACAGACGAGGAGCUUGCUCCUCUGACGUUAGCGGCGGACGGGUGAGUAACACGUGGAUAACCUACCUAUAAGACUGGGAUAACUUCGGGAAACCGGAGCUAAUACCGGAUAAUAUAUUGAACCGCAUGGUUCAAUAGUGAAAGACGGUUUUGCUGUCACUUAUAGAUGGAUCCGCGCCGCAUUAGCUAGUUGGUAAGGUAACGGCUUACCAAGGCAACGAUGCGUAGCCGGCCUGAGAGGGUGAUCGGCCACACUGGAACUGAGACACGGUCCAGACUCCUACGGGAGGCAGCAGUAGGGAAUCUUCCGCAAUGGGCGAAAGCCUGACGGAGCAACGCCGCGUGAGUGAUGAAGGUCUUCGGAUCGUAAAACUCUGUUAUUAGGGAAGAACAAAUGUGUAAGUAACUAUGCACGUCUUGACGGUACCUAAUCAGAAAGCCACGGCUAACUACGUG